AGUCCCGUCGUCUAGCGGCCCAGGAUCGAGGACUCUGGAUCCUUGGACGGCAGUUCGAAUCUGCCCGGGACUA
Molecule: transfer RNA, 73 nt
Filed under: Candidatus Woesearchaeota archaeon
Lineage: Archaea; Nanobdellati; Candidatus Woesearchaeota
Description: tRNA-Gln
Rfam family: tRNA
About the family: Transfer RNA (tRNA) molecules are approximately 80 nucleotides in length.
Source: RNAcentral